This 253-nucleotide ribosomal RNA is filed under the name uncultured bacterium. RNAcentral describes it as "partial 16S ribosomal RNA". It matches the Rfam family "Bacterial small subunit ribosomal RNA", at positions 524 to 776 of the family's 1533-position model. The record is from RNAcentral.
UACAGAGGGGGCAAGCGUUGUUCGGAAUUACUGGGCGUAAAGGGCGCGUAGGCGGCCUGCUAAGUCGAACGUGAAAUCCCCGAGCUCAACUCGGGAACUGCGUCCGAUACUGGCAGGCUUGAAUCCGGGAGAGGGAUGCGGAAUUCCAGGUGUAGCGGUGAAAUGCGUAGAUAUCUGGAGGAACACCGGUGGCGAAGGCGGCAUCCUGGACCGGCAUUGACGCUGAGGAGCGAAAGCGUGGGGAGCGAACAGG